AAUUAUUACAUUAUUAUUAUGUAUUAAAGAAAGUAUAUGAUUCCUUAAUUAAUGAAACCUGCAAGUAGUAAGAACUCAUUCAGGGGUUUGAUGCUAUUAUAAAUCUGUAAGUAAUAAACAAGGUUGCCUAGAGUUUUAAUUUCUCUCCUCUCACCUACUGAAGAAAGUUCUUAAAUGAGCAGAAACUGUGAAAAGGCAGAUAAAUCAAUAGAAGCAGAGUAUCUUGAUAAUCAGCAGUAGCCAAAAUGAGCAUAUGGGUCAAUCCAGGAUUUUUUAAAAGAAGUUCCCUUUAAUCAAGCCAAAAUUAUACUUUUGAUUUUUUAUGAAUCUUCUCUUUAAAAUAUUUUAAUUCAUUUCUAAAUUGAGAAUUUAUAGCACAG
This 380-nucleotide long non-coding RNA is filed under the name Bos taurus (domestic cattle). Its description in RNAcentral is "long non-coding RNA NONBTAT022193". Lineage: Eukaryota; Metazoa; Chordata; Mammalia; Artiodactyla; Bovidae. The record is from RNAcentral.